Pseudophryne corroboree (corroboree frog) is the source of this 499-nucleotide long non-coding RNA. RefSeq lists it as uncharacterized. NCBI's taxonomy places the organism in Eukaryota, Metazoa, Chordata, Amphibia, Anura, Myobatrachidae. The transcript has 3 exons. The record is from RefSeq and is a predicted model, not a curated record.
AAAGGGCAAAAAUUACACAAGGAUUGGGAAAAGAAGAUGGAGAACUACUUCGUACUUGUGCAGGAAGAAAUGGCAGGAACCAGUGCAGAAGGUAUUAUUUUUAAAAAUUCUAUAAAAUUAAUUUUUUAAUAUUCUUUUUAAAAAAGUAAUUAUUUAAACAAAAAUUUAAAUUUCUUAUUUCUUUCAAAAGGAGCCACAAAAGAUUCUACGCCAACAAAACAUAGCACGCCACAAACGGAAACAACGCCAAAGAAGAAAACAAAAUCGCAGAAAGAUUCCACAGUUAAGGCAAAGAGAAGAGUUUCUUUUGGAUAUCCGACAACUGGAGGAGGUGCUGAGGAUACCGAAACCCAGAUACAGCAUACAAUAUUGCCGAUUGAUUCAACACUGCAAGCAGCGACACUUCAAACAGAAUCAGCCCAGAGGCACCCACCCACGGUGCAGGAAGAAACAUCAUCCCAACAGCCACUUCCAGAAGAAAAUUCAUCACAGGGGCACC